Long non-coding RNA from Dreissena polymorpha, 1150 nucleotides. RefSeq lists it as uncharacterized. NCBI's taxonomy places the organism in Eukaryota, Metazoa, Mollusca, Bivalvia, Myida, Dreissenidae. The record is from RefSeq and is a predicted model, not a curated record. The transcript is spliced from 2 exons.
AUAAACUAAGAUGGUCUUGUAUACAUGUACUAGUUUUAAACGUUUAUAUUGAAAUGAGUAUACCAACGUCCACAUUGUGAAUAUAUAAUGUAUUUAUCAUAUAUAAAAUAUACAAAAUAUAAAUAAACAAAACGCAGCCAAGGAAAUUAACUAACGAAAAUGUGAACAUCGUUCUGGCAAAACUGGGCUUAAUGCAUGUGUGUCUAAUGUCGUCACAGAUUGGCAUGCGCAGUUUACAAAUCAGGAUAAUCAGUCGCCUGUAUCUCUGACACGGUGAGUGACGCAGUACCGGAAGCGUUGAACACAAUCCACUGAGACAUGAGCACGAAUAACCAAGCCCUUAAGAACAUUAUCACAGCACGAGAAGCACGUGUAACAUGGCCAAAACAGAGCACGUUACCGCGAGCACGGGAGGCGAUUGGUUACACUAGUAUUGACGUAGACCAAAGUGACGUCAUUUUUACGGAGUGGUUAUACCCCUAAGAACCGCGAAGUUUUUAUUAUAAUUACAUAAAACACAACUAUUUUGCUUGUUUUGACAUGAACAAAAAAUGCUUAAAUAAAUGUUAUGAUCCUUCCUGGCUCUGGACAGCUUAAGCUAUAAUCAAUGUAAGUUAGUAAAGUCCUCGCGUUAGUCAGCAGCGUUUGCAAGCAACCGUUGAUAAAACAUCCAUGGACAGUCUUAUAUCACGCUUCCAAAAGAACACGAGUACACAAUUGUUACCGAAGAGCUCAGUAUUGCAUUUCAGUGAAAGUGAUAAUCUUUUGUUAGAAUUAAGUUUAAAUUAGUUUCGCGUUUAAUAUGACAAAAAUAAAAAACAAGAAGAAAAAACAACUAAAAAGCCUGCUUCUUACAGUUUUGUAUUGAGUGUUAUUCUUGUGCAAGCAAUCAAUAUCUCAUCGAUGUUGGUUAGAUAAAAUUAUCAAAUUAUGAUCCUUUUUGCUGAAAAACACUCAACUUUCUUCAUGAAACGUUCUUACAGUACAGUAAUCAUCAUAAAAUUGUUUGUAUUAAUCCCAAAACUAUGCUUGCACUGAUUAGGCUAACUCUUAAAUCCAUAAACAUAUUUUCAAUUGUACAUAAAUUCAAUGCGACGCAUGUUUAACAUCUUAUGUGUAAGAAGACUUUCAAAUAAAUGCUUAAUUACAA